Long non-coding RNA from Tupaia belangeri chinensis (Chinese tree shrew), 1711 nucleotides. RefSeq lists it as uncharacterized. The record is from RefSeq and is a predicted model, not a curated record. The transcript has 8 exons. NCBI's taxonomy places the organism in Eukaryota, Metazoa, Chordata, Mammalia, Scandentia, Tupaiidae.
CAUAGGUCAGUGUGUCCGCGGUCUGAUCCUGGUCGUCAGCUCUGGAGCCUGACGGCGCAGAUGUGUCCAGCCGCCUGGCCAGGGCGAGGGGCUGACGUGGGGACGCAGUGGGACAGAGCACUCAGCAGACCCCUGGACGUGCAGGGUCUUUCCCUGAUGCCUCCCGGAGGGCACCGAGGAGAUGGCCUGUGGUGUGAGUCUGUCUGGACCCUCAGGUACUGCGGUUCUUUGAGGGGGUUUUAGUUAGUCUCAUUCUCCUGUGAGGAAUUCAGGUUUCAUUACAUCUGGAGACCACGAGAUACGAUUAAAUCUCACCGUUCGGAACAUGCAAACAGAACUAACCUGAUGUGGAAACACCAAGACCAGCUAUUUCUGAAACUCAGUUUCGAGUUUGCAAAAAUAAAGUGACAUUCUCUCGAUCACAGCUUUUAGAUUAUCAGAAAUAUUUUUCCAUCUCAGACUUAUCUCUUCAUGGGAAGAACAGAAUAAUAUUCCACUAUAUUGGAGAACGUCUGAUAAGUAAAGAUAAGCAACUUUGCAACUUGACGCUGGAAAAGGCAAAAUAGAGAAACCAGCGUCUCAGCGGACGCCCCGCUAGGGUGCCUGUGGCCCUGCCCUGCUCUACGCUUUGGGAAAACCCUUCUGAGAGAGACAGUGAAGCCUUUCGAAGACAGUAUAAAGGAGGAAAAUCAAGGACAGUGUGACAGAGUGGCAGAGGGAAGGGAUGGGCCGGUCUCCUGUACAGAUAUGGUUGCAAAAGUCCUACAUAAAAUGCUAGCAGAGAGCACAUGUGCCAUGGUGCGCCCCCGUGGGGUCUAUCCUGCAAUGGAGAGCGGUCAGUGGUAGGAGGUCGUGGCUGCGUUCACCAGGCUCACAGUUGGAAAGGUCCACUCACAGAUUGAGGAAAAGCAUCGGAUAGAAUUCUGCACUCACAAUGGAAAACCCAAGAGAAAGAGCUGGAGAUGUCCAUGCGCUGAUUAAGAGGAGUGCCAAAACUCUUGGCAGUGAGGGCAAUUUUUAAAGGAUGCUGACAAGAUGGUUAUAGAAUUUAUGUGAAAGAGCAAAGGUGUCAAGAGUGGAGGAGAAAUAAGACACAGGGGCGGGUCGUGUUGGAGCUCGAGAUUUAUUGAAAAGGAGAGCCACUGCAGUAUUGUAUGUUCGGGGAAGCAAUUAAACAAAUUGACAGCGAGACAGAGCACAGUGAGCACGCAUGCCCUAAGGCAAAAACCUCUUUAGGAAAGAAAAAAAGAAAGAAACUCAAAAGACCCUAUACAUGAAUGAAAUAAAUGAAAAGCCACAAACCAGGAGGAAACACCUAUGACACACCUGACCAUAUAAGAUCCAGAAAGAAGGCUCUGCAAGUCGAUGGAAAAGUGGCACAGGACCCCGGCCCGCGCUCUGCAGGAGGGGAAAUCAGAGAGAAGAUACGGGAGGCCCACACUCCUCGAGAGCUGGAGCAUGCAAAUGAAGACCCAGUGAGACGGGGGCGCUCUUGGCGCUGAGUCUGGCGCUCUGCGUGCCCUUUGCCAUGGGAAAGCGCCGCUUUUCAGAAGGUGCGUCACUAAGAGGCCUGACGGUUCCAACCACAUUUUCCAGCUCAAUAGUCUACGAGCUCGGCCAGGCGAGGACAGUGUAAGCUGGCUGCCCACACCCCGCUCCACGAUGACAUCCGCUCCCGGCGGCGCUAUCAGCCGGCCACGGGGGAGCCGGG